AAGAAUCGGGCCUUUGACUUUGCUCAUGUCAGGACGAGGUUCUCCUCCUGUUCCUGACAUGGCUGUGGGGGCACAUUAGGGCGUUGUAAGGUCUCUCCCCCCAUCCGGUCUAAAAGAAUCGGAUCUUUGACUUUGCUCAUGUCAGGAUGAGGUUCUCCUCCUGUUCCUGACAUGGCUGUGGGGGCACAUUAGGGCGUUGUAAGGCCUCUCCCCCCAUCCGAUCUAAAAGAAUCGAGCCUUUGACUUUGCUCAAGUUAGGGCGAGGUUCUCCUCCUGUCCCUAACAGGGCUGUGGCAGAUGAAUCUGUCAAGUCGACCUCGUCGAAUGAGCUCCUCGAUCUCGUCCUGGAGCUGGAUGCAUUCCUCCGUGUCGUGGCCGUGGUCACGGUGGUAGAGGCAGAACUUGUUGGGGUUGCGCUUCCCGGGGUGUGUGCGCAUCCUCUCCGGCCUAGGGAGCUGCUCCCUGACCUCCAUUAAUACCUGGGCCUUCGAGGCGUUGAGGGGGGCGUAGCUGCGGAAUCUCCCUGGUGGGGAACCCCGCCGAACCCCACGGUCCGGGCUUCUCUGUCUGCGUACCCGGGGUGGAGUAUGGGCGCGCUUAUGCCCAGGAGGGGAUCGAGAAUGCGGCCGGACUUCCUUUGGCCUUUUCUCCACUGUGGGCUUACUCGAAUCUCCCGCU
RNAcentral lists this long non-coding RNA (678 nucleotides) under Elaeis guineensis (African oil palm). Its description in RNAcentral is "long non-coding RNA (EGUI_LNC073631)". The record is from RNAcentral. Lineage: Eukaryota; Viridiplantae; Streptophyta; Magnoliopsida; Arecales; Arecaceae.